UACGUAGGGCGCAAGCGUUGUCCGGAAUUAUUGGGCGUAAAGAGCUCGUAGGCGGUUUGUCGCGUCUGCUGUGAAAACGUGAGGCUUAACCUCGAGCUUGCAGUGGGUACGGGCAGACUAGAGUGCAGUAGGGGAGACUGGAAUUCCUGGUGUAGCGGUGGAAUGCGCAGAUAUCAGGAGGAACACCGGUGGCGAAGGCGGGUCUCUGGGCUGUUACUGACGCUGAGGAGCGAAAGCAUGGGGAGCGAACAGG
This 253-nucleotide ribosomal RNA is filed under the name uncultured bacterium. RNAcentral describes it as "partial 16S ribosomal RNA". It matches the Rfam family "Bacterial small subunit ribosomal RNA", at positions 524 to 776 of the family's 1533-position model. The record is from RNAcentral.